This 30-nucleotide non-coding RNA is filed under the name Mus musculus (house mouse). The record is from RNAcentral. Lineage: Eukaryota; Metazoa; Chordata; Mammalia; Rodentia; Muridae.
UNGAUGCUUAGAGAUAGGGUUUUGAUGUAC